GACGAACGCUGGCGGCGUGCUUAACACAUGCAAGUCGAACGGAAAGGCCCUGCUUUUGUGGGGUGCUCGAGUGGCGAACGGGUGAGUAACACGUGAGUAACCUGCCCUUGACUUUGGGAUAACUUCAGGAAACUGGGGCUAAUACCGGAUAGGAGCUCCUGCUGCAUGGUGGGGGUUGGAAAGUUUCGGCGGUUGGGGAUGGACUCGCGGCUUAUCAGCUUGUUGGUGGGGUAGUGGCUUACCAAGGCUUUGACGGGUAGCCGGCCUGAGAGGGUGACCGGCCACAUUGGGACUGAGAUACGGCCCAGACUCCUACGGGAGGCAGCAGUGGGGAAUAUUGCACAAUGGGCGGAAGCCUGAUGCAGCAACGCCGCGUGCGGGAUGACGGCCUUCGGGUUGUAAACCGCUUUCGCCUGUGACGAAGCGUGAGUGACGGUAAUGGGUAAAGAAGCACCGGCUAACUACGUGCCAGCAGCCGCGGUGAUACGUAGGGUGCGAGCGUUGUCCGGAUUUAUUGGGCGUAAAGGGCUCGUAGGUGGUUGAUCGCGUCGGAAGUGUAAUCUUGGGGCUUAACCCUGAGCGUGCUUUCGAUACGGGUUGACUUGAGGAAGGUAGGGGAGAAUGGAAUUCCUGGUGGAGCGGUGGAAUGCGCAGAUAUCAGGAGGAACACCAGUGGCGAAGGCGGUUCUCUGGGCCUUUCCUGACGCUGAGGAGCGAAAGCGUGGGGAGCGAACAGGCUUAGAUACCCUGGUAGUCCACGCUGUAAACGGUGGGUACUAGGUGUGGGGUCCAUUCCACGGGUUCCGUGCCGUAGCUAACGCUUUAAGUACCCCGCCUGGGGAGUACGGCCGCAAGGCUAAAACUCAAAGGAAUUGACGGGGCCCCGCACAAGCGGCGGAGCAUGCGGAUUAAUUCGAUGCAACGCGUAGAACCUUACCUGGGUUUGACAUGGAUCGGGAGCGCUCAGAGAUGGGUGUGCCUCUUUUGGGGUCGGUUCACAGGUGGUGCAUGGCUGUCGUCAGCUCGUGUCGUGAGAUGUUGGGUUAAGUCCCGCAACGAGCGCAACCCUUGUUCACUGUUGCCAGCACGUUAUGGUGGGGACUCAGUGGAGACCGCCGGGGUCAACUCGGAGGAAGGUGGGGAUGACGUCAAGUCAUCAUGCCCCUUAUGUCCAGGGCUUCACGCAUGCUACAAUGGCUGGUACAGAGAGUGGCGAGCCUGUGAGGGUGAGCGAAUCUCGGAAAGCCGGUCUCAGUUCGGAUUGGGGUCUGCUACUCGACCUCAUGAAGUCGGAGUCGCUAGUAAUCGCAGAUCAGCAACGCUGCGGUGAAUACGUUCCCGGG
This 1343-nucleotide ribosomal RNA is filed under the name uncultured bacterium. RNAcentral describes it as "16S ribosomal RNA". It matches the Rfam family "Bacterial small subunit ribosomal RNA", at positions 28 to 1378 of the family's 1533-position model. The record is from RNAcentral.